AGCAGUAGCCGCGGUAAUACGUAGGGUGCGAGCGUUAAUCGGAAUUACUGGGCGUAAAGCGUGCGCAGGCGGUUAUAUAAGACAGAUGUGAAAUCCCCGGGCUCAACCUGGGACCUGCAUUUGUGACUGUAUAGCUAGAGUACGGUAGAGGGGGAUGGAAUUCCGCGUGUAGCAGUGAAAUGCGUAGAUAUCUGGAGGAACAUCUGUGGCGAAAGCGGCUCACUGGACAAUAACUGACGCUGAUGCACGAAAGCUAGGGGAGCAAACAGGAUUAGAUACCCGUGUAGUCCCUGUCUCUUAUAC
Molecule: ribosomal RNA, 303 nt
Filed under: uncultured bacterium
Lineage: Bacteria
Description: partial 16S ribosomal RNA
Rfam family: Bacterial small subunit ribosomal RNA
Source: RNAcentral